UAUGUGAUCGUCUCUCGCAUAUCAAUAAGCGGAGGAAAAGAAACUAACAAGGAUUCCCCUAGUAACGGCGAGUGAAGCGGGAAGAGCUCAAAUUUGAAAUCUUAAAGGGUCUCCCUUUACGAAUUGUAGUUUAAAGAAGUGUUUUCUGUUGAGGUUUUGGUAAAAGUUCUUUGGAAUAGGACAUCAUAGAGGGUGAGAAUCCCGUAUUUGACCUUUACUUUCAACUUUGUGAUACACUUUCAAAGAGUCGGAUUGUUUGGGAAUGCAGUCCAAAAUGGGUGGUAAAUUUCAUCUAAAGCUAAAUAUUGGCGAGAGACCGAUAGCGAACAAGUACCGUGAGGGAAAGAUGAAAAGAACUUUGAAAAGAGAGUUAAACAGUACGUGAAAUUGUCAAAAGGGAAGCGUUUGACACCAGUGUUGUUUUUCUGAAAAUCAAUUAAAGAACUGUUUAUGCUAAGUUGUUUAGACUUUAUCAGCUAACUGUUUAGUUUUGAGCUUUUCUUUAAUGCACUUUUCAGUUAACAAGUCAACAUCAAUUUCUUUUGCUGUAAAAAAGCUUGAGGAAGGUGGCUUGAGAUUCGUCUUAAGUGUUUAUAGCCUCUUGCCUAUGCAGUCGGAGAGAUUGAGGUCUGCAGCGUAGAUCCUUCGGGGCUAAAUGCAUUUGUGCUAAGUUAUAGCAUUUUAUAGACAACUUGUUGACUAUGAUUUGUCUUGUAGCUUACUCGCUUAUGUUAUUUUACCUACGCUUAGGAUGUUGACACACGCGCGUGCUCG
RNAcentral lists this ribosomal RNA (774 nucleotides) under uncultured Neocallimastigales. RNAcentral's name for it is "partial large subunit ribosomal RNA". It matches the Rfam family "Eukaryotic large subunit ribosomal RNA", at positions 24 to 643 of the family's 3401-position model. The record is from RNAcentral. Lineage: Eukaryota; Fungi; Neocallimastigomycota; Neocallimastigomycetes; Neocallimastigales.